This 253-nucleotide ribosomal RNA is filed under the name uncultured bacterium. RNAcentral's name for it is "partial 16S ribosomal RNA". It matches the Rfam family "Bacterial small subunit ribosomal RNA", at positions 524 to 776 of the family's 1533-position model. The record is from RNAcentral.
UACGUAGGGGGCAAGCGUUGUCCGGAUUUAUUGGGCGUAAAGAGCGUGUAGGCGGUUCGGUAGGUCCGUUGUGAAAACUCGAGGCUCAACCUCGAGACGCCGAUGGAAACCCUCGAACUAGAGUCCGGAAGAGGAGAGUGGAAUUCCUGGUGUAGCGGUGAAAUGCGCAGAUAUCAGGAAGAACACCCGUGGCUAAGGCGGCUCUCUAGUACGGUACUGACGCUGAGACGCGAAAGCGUGGGGAGCGAGCAGG